AAGGAUCUUAGUCCUGCUUUAAUUCUCACGUAACACCAAAUACGCCAACAGACUUAAAAGCCUUCAAAUAGGGCACAGCCUGUUUGAAAAAGGAUACAACCUCGCACACAGGGUAAUGUCUUAAUUACGCAAUCAAGUGGGCCUAAGAGCAGCCACCUUUCAAAAAGCGUCACAGCUUAGUUUCAAUUUUCACUAAUCCCAACCCCCCAAACAAAACCCCUCACCCCCACUGAACGACUCCAUACCCCUAUGGAAAACCUCAUGUUAGAACUAGUAACAAGAAAAACUCUCCGCAAAUGUAAGUGUAUGCCAGAAUGAACAUCUCGCCGGCAUUUAUCGUCAAUGACUCUGCAGUAACAACAUAACACAAGAAAACCUUACCCCCCCCCCCGUUAACCUAACACCAGAACUUUCCCGGAAAGAUUAAAAAAGGGGGAAGGAACUCGGCAAAUA
Molecule: ribosomal RNA, 453 nt
Filed under: Barygenys exsul (Zweifel's Papua frogs)
Lineage: Eukaryota; Metazoa; Chordata; Amphibia; Anura; Microhylidae
Description: partial 16S ribosomal RNA
Source: RNAcentral